This 395-nucleotide ribosomal RNA is filed under the name uncultured bacterium. RNAcentral describes it as "bacterial SSU rRNA". It matches the Rfam family "Bacterial small subunit ribosomal RNA", at positions 505 to 898 of the family's 1533-position model. The record is from RNAcentral.
GUGCCAGCAGCCGCGGUAAUACGUAGGUGGCGAGCGUUGUCCGGAAUUACUGGGUGUAAAGGGCGUGUAGGCGGGUUGACAAGUCAGAUGUGAAAUUCCCAGGCUUAACCUGGGCGCUGCAUCUGAAACUGUUAAUCUUGAGUGCUGGAGAGGAAAGCGGAAUUCCUAGUGUAGCGGUGAAAUGCGUAGAUAUUAGGAGGAACACCAGUGGCGAAGGCGGCUUUCUGGACAGUAACUGACGCUGAGGCGCGAAAGCGUGGGGAGCAAACAGGAUUAGAUACCCUGGUAGUCCACGCUGUAAACGAUGGAUACUAGGUGUAGGAGGUAUCGACCCCUUCUGUGCCGGAGUUAACACAAUAAGUAUCCCACCUGGGGAGUACGGCCGCAAGGUUGAA